CGAAAUGAUGGAGAGUCCGCCCUUGC
This 26-nucleotide non-coding RNA is filed under the name Mus musculus (house mouse). The record is from RNAcentral. Lineage: Eukaryota; Metazoa; Chordata; Mammalia; Rodentia; Muridae.